GGGGGUGUCCUGGCUUCGACGGGGGUGGCGACGUCGACCGGUGCAUGCCGAGGGGGCAGCUUUCCUCGUUAAUCCAGCGGCAAAAUCAUAGUUGCCAACGACGACAACUACGCUCUCGCCGCUUAAGGCGUAAGCCCCGAACCCACUUGUGGCCGUGCUCGUGGAUGUAGGGUCAUCAUCACGGCACAGCUGUCGGCGGCGACCCGCCAACCGGCAGUCAACCUAGCGGGUGUGGACGACGGUGUGCUUCGCACGUUGUGUUGCCGGCGUCCGAGAUCGAACAACGGGCUAAGCAUGUAGUACCGGAGACCGAGUGCUCUCGGACGGGGGUUCAACUCCCCCCACCUCCACCA
RNAcentral lists this transfer-messenger RNA (353 nucleotides) under Arenimonas composti. RNAcentral describes it as "Standard tmRNA". It matches the Rfam family "transfer-messenger RNA". From Rfam's summary of the family: Bacterial tmRNA, also known as 10Sa RNA or SsrA, is named for its dual tRNA and mRNA-like properties. Its role is to liberate the mRNA from a stalled ribosome. The record is from RNAcentral. RNAcentral also lists the same sequence under 1 other name. Lineage: Bacteria; Pseudomonadati; Pseudomonadota; Gammaproteobacteria; Lysobacterales; Lysobacteraceae.